Molecule: ribosomal RNA, 867 nt
Filed under: Salmonella enterica
Lineage: Bacteria; Pseudomonadati; Pseudomonadota; Gammaproteobacteria; Enterobacterales; Enterobacteriaceae
Description: partial 23S ribosomal RNA
Rfam family: Bacterial large subunit ribosomal RNA
Source: RNAcentral
CAUGUGUGUUAGUGGAAGCGUCUGGAAAGGCGCGCGAUACAGGGUGACAGCCCCGUACACAAAAGCGCAUGUGCUGUGAGCUCGAUGAGUAGGGCGGGACACGUGGUAUCCUGUCUGAAUAUGGGGGGACCAUCCUCCAAGGCUAAAUACUCCUGACUGACCGAUAGUGAACCAGUACCGUGAGGGAAAGGCGAAAAGAACCCCGGCGAGGGGAGUGAAAAAGAACCUGAAACCGUGUACGUACAAGCAGUGGGAGCACAGGUUUACCUGUGUGACUGCGUACCUUUUGUAUAAUGGGUCAGCGACUUAUAUUCUGUAGCAAGGUUAACCGAAUAGGGGAGCCGGAGGGAAACCGAGUCUUAAUUGGGCGUUAAGUUGCAGGGUAUAGACCCGAAACCCGGUGAUCUAGCCAUGGGCAGGUUGAAGGUUGGGUAACACUAACUGGAGGACCGAACCGACUAAUGUUGAAAAAUUAGCGGAUGACCUGUGGCUGGGGGUGAAAGGCCAAUCAAACCGGGAGAUAGCUGGUUCUCCCCGAAAGCUAUUUAGGUAGCGCCUCGUGAAUUCAUCUCCGGGGGUAGAGCACUGUUUCGGCUAGGGGGCCAUCCCGGCUUACCAACCCGAUGCAAACUGCGAAUACCGGAGAAUGUUAUCACGGGAGACACACGGCGGGUGCUAACGUCCGUCGUGAAGAGGGAAACAACCCAGACCGCCAGCUAAGGUCCCAAAGUCAUGGUUAAGUGGGAAACGAUGUGGGAAGGCCCAGACAGCCAGGAUGUUGGCUUAGAAGCAGCCAUCAUUUAAAGAAAGCGUAAUAGCUCACUGGUCGAGUCGGCCUGCGCGGAAGAUGUAACGGGGCUAAACCAU